UGGUGUUUUUUUGCCCUCAACGGCAUCUUCCAGGCAGCACAGCCUAAAAGGCACUACCUUUACCCUAUUCCUAACCCUAACCCCCUCAACCCUCAUCCUACCCCUAAACUGAGGGGAGUAGUGCCUUGAAGGCAGCGCUGCCUGGAAGGCACCAUUGCAAUACCAAAGACCGGUGGGUGACUCUGGAGUGGGAACGCCUCUAUGGGGCUUUUCAUUUAUGGGGCACCAAAAUUGGGAAAUAUAUUCAACAAAAUGUUGAGUCAGUCUGACUCAAUCAAUGCAUUGUUUAUUAUAAUGACCAAAUGUUACACGAUCAAUUAAACAAAACAAAAAAAGUCUUUAGAAGUCUGAAAAACCUGAUCUUUACAAAUCUUUAAAAGUCUUUAAACUUUUAAAGAAGAAUUUUGUUUCUACAUUUUACAUUCAGAUGCAAUCUUUGUCUUUUGUUUUGUGAUACUACAGUAUGUUGUGCACAUUAAAGUGCUACCACUGACCCGAGGAGGAGUGUGUCUUACCGAGAGCUGGGUUGUAGCCGAAGCCCUGGUUGAGCAGUACGUUCAUGUAGGAGAUGGGCACGUGGCUAGUGAAGGGCCCAAAGCACUGUGAGCCCAUGGACAUCGGGGACAUCACCGCUGUGAAGGCAACCUUGCAGCCAGGACCUAGACAAAGAUGAAUACUUUGUUUAGAUCUCUCAGUGAAGAAAAUAAGUGGUAUUUUAGUGGAGUGAAUCAUCACAGUGCUCUUCAGUGACUGACAUUUCUGUUGUAUAUAUUUUUUGUGCUGAAGACUCCAUUAAAGAAUACUGAAGUAAUGUAUACACAUAGGAUCACAUAGGUAUAUGCUAAAACAUACAGUAUGUAAUGCUUGGACCUCUUUUAAUCUUUUCUGUGACUGACAACCUCUGAUCCCUUCUGAUAAUUAAAGGUAGUAAAAUGUACUCAUUUGAAUAUGUCAUGUGUGUGUGUCUGUAAUAGUACCUGUGAGCUCGCCGAUCUGGUUGUUGAGAGUGGAGAGUCCCUGCCACAGACCCACCAUGCGCGUGAACAGAUCCUCCUCCAGUUGGAAGACGCUGCCGGCAACGCAGCAGCAUCCGCGCUGGCGAUUGAAAGCGCAGUCGCAGUCCCAGUCACCGCACGGCAGCUUCCCCGUCCACGACACUGACGAACACGGGGACACAAAACCAACUCACCUCAACUACUCCAGCACAUGUGAGAGCUAUGGAGAUCAAUGAGGGGUGUCCAGUGAAGACUCCUGUCAGCCAGGUAGAGUGUGUGAGCGUAUCGGGCAGUGUGCUGGUCUGGAACUUAGUGCUGGGAGUUUUAUGCAGGGGGUGGUGUCACUCUGGGUGCCUGAAGAUCUUCAACACACACAGGUGUUGAGAACUAGUGCACAUAGUAUCCUCGCUGGGUGGGAGCAUCUGAAAAGCUCUGAAAAGCCAUUUGUUCCACAAUAGUCUCUCUUCCCCACGACACCUGGAUCCUAUUGCAUGAGUCUUCGGGGACAGCACUAUGUUGUGUGGAGAAGUAAAAAAAAAAAUAAGAAAAAUAAGUCAGCUUAUGAUCCUACUCAUUGUGAUAGCUGGUCAGCGCAGCAUUGAAUUGCUCUGGUGAAAUGGGCCCAUCUGAUACGGCUGUCACGCUAAUGCGUCUCGCAACCUCAAUUCCAGCAAUCGGAUGUUUUGUUUUCGUCCCUGACUCAGUUCCAGGGUAUCAGCCUUUUACUUUUCAUAUUUUCCUGUAAUGUCUCUGUCAAGACCUAGUUCACCAAGAGAUUCUCAAAAGCGUUUAUUUCAAAAGAAAUGACAAGAAGGCAUGUAAGGGAUAUGGAAUAUUUCAAGACCUUUUUAGACCCCAGCAUUCAUCUUCGACUUGCUUUGCAAACCUUCAGAAGCACCUCAUAAUUAAUUAUUUUUAUUGGCAGACUACUGCCCAACAGCAUCAAAAAUAUCGACUGUCACCUUGACUAUACAGAUUUUUAAACUUUAAACUUCAAGCAAUUGCUGUUGUCUGUUAUGACAAUUGAGCAUGUUGAUGUCACAGUUUUGUCCUUUGUUGCCCUGUGUCAUUAUGAAGUACGUGUUAGUUGCCCAUUGUAUAGCAUAGAAAGAAGUUGAUAACAGGUCUGUUGUCAGUGUGCAAUUUUACAUUAUUGAGGAAAAUUAUGCAAUAUUAUGCAUAUUAUUGCAAAUAGCAGGGUUGCCAGGAAUAGUGUCCUAAGGGAAAUGACUUCUGUUCUAACCAUGGCUAAAAUCCACUGAUGCUCAGCUUAUGGAGGUCAUUGUGCACAAAACAUUGUCAGUAAAUGCGUAAAAAGUCACGUCUCCAAUAUUUUCCUUUUUAAAAAUGUGUUUGAUUUUGUCAUACCGCCUGGACAAUGCUUCAACCUGUCAGUCUUCUUCAGAACCGUAUAAAGUAUUUAUAAACCCCAUUGACACCU
Molecule: long non-coding RNA, 2436 nt
Organism: Sardina pilchardus (European sardine)
Lineage: Eukaryota; Metazoa; Chordata; Actinopteri; Clupeiformes; Clupeidae
Exons: 3
Source: RefSeq, a predicted model, not a curated record